GUACACUCCUGCGGGAGGCAGCAGUGGGGAAUUUUGGACAAUGGGCGAAAGCCUGAUCCAGCAAUGCCGCGUGAGUGAAGAAGGCCUUCGGGUUGUAAAGCUCUUUUGUCAGGGAAGAAACGGUGAAAGCUAAUAUCUUUUGCUAAUGACGGUACCUGAAGAAUAAGCACCGGCUAACUACGUGCCAGCAGCCGCGGUAAUACGUAGGGUGCAAGCGUUAAUCGGAAUUACUGGGCGUAAAGCGUGCGCAGGCGGUUUUGUAAGUCUGAUGUGAAAUCCCCGGGCUCAACCUGGGAAUUGCAGUGGAGACUGCAAGGCUAGAAUCUGGCAGAGGGGGGUAGAAUUCCACGUGUAGCAGUGAAAUGCGUAGAUAUGUGGGGGAACACCGAUGGCGAAGGCAGCCCCCUGGGUCAAGAUUGACGCUCAUGCACGAAAGCGUGGGGAGCAAACAGGAUUAGAAACCCCGGUAGUCCCAUGAU
This 479-nucleotide ribosomal RNA is filed under the name uncultured organism. RNAcentral's name for it is "partial 16S ribosomal RNA". It matches the Rfam family "Bacterial small subunit ribosomal RNA", at positions 331 to 801 of the family's 1533-position model. The record is from RNAcentral.